Molecule: long non-coding RNA, 172 nt
Organism: Xenopus tropicalis (tropical clawed frog)
Lineage: Eukaryota; Metazoa; Chordata; Amphibia; Anura; Pipidae
Exons: 3
Source: RefSeq, a predicted model, not a curated record
GAGUGAAAUUACGAAAAAUCUGGCAUCGGUUUAUCCCUUGUUUACCUUUUCGAAGGAAACAACGGAAAUCACGUACCCAUUGGUACAUUGAGAUGGAACAAGAUGAUGUCGGUACGGACAUCGUGGUAAGCAGAGAGGAACUGGUUAACACAAUAUGAUGAUCACAAUUUGC